This 468-nucleotide ribosomal RNA is filed under the name uncultured bacterium. Its description in RNAcentral is "partial 16S ribosomal RNA". It matches the Rfam family "Bacterial small subunit ribosomal RNA", at positions 28 to 507 of the family's 1533-position model. The record is from RNAcentral.
GACGAACGCUGGCGGCGUGCUUAACACAUGCAAGUCGAACGGAAAGGCCCUGCUUUUGUGGGGUGCUCGAGUGGCGAACGGGUGAGUAACACGUGAGUAACCUGCCCUUGACUUUGGGAUAACUUCAGGAAACUGGGGCUAAUACCGGAUAGGAGCUCCUGCUGCAUGGUGGGGGUUGGAAAGUUUCGGCGGUUGGGGAUGGACUCGCGGCUUAUCAGCUUGUUGGUGAGGUAGUGGCUUACCAAGGCUUUGACGGGUAGCCGGCCUGAGAGGGUGACCGGCCACAUUGGGACUGAGAUACGGACCAGACUCCAACGGGAGGCAGCAGUGGGGAAUAUUGCACAAUGGGCGGAAGCCUGAGGCAGCAACGCCGCGUGCGGGAUGACGGCCUUCGGGUUGUAAACCGCUUUCGCCUGUGACGAAGCGUGAGUGACGGUAAUGGGUAAAGAAGCACCGGCUAACUACGUG